CGCCGCCGUCCCUUCUCCCCAAAUCAAAUCCAUCCUCUACUCCAUGGAUUCCACAUCGACACUCUCGAGGAGGGCGAUCUAGCCCGGAAUCUCACCAAUUCAGGUUCCAAUCCCCUCGCCGGAGAUGGCCACCGUCAAUCCCUUCGAUCUCCUCGGCGAUGACGACAACGACGAUCCCUCGCAGUUGAUCGCCACUCAGCAGCAGAAGCUCGCCGCUGCGGCGGCGGCGGCCGCCAAGAAAGCCGCCGCCGCGCCACCGGCGGCCAAGCUCCCGUCGAAGCCCCUCCCUCCCGCACAAGCCGUGAGGGAGAAUCGGAGCAACACCGGGUACGGGCGCGGCAGCCGCGGUGGACGGGGAGGGGGAGAUUUCCGUAAUCGCGAUUUCGGGAAUGUGAAUGUUAAUGGAUCCUCGGGAGGCUACGGUGGUGGUGGUGGUGCUAGAGGUGAAGAG
This 451-nucleotide unclassified non-coding RNA is filed under the name Hevea brasiliensis (rubber tree). Lineage: Eukaryota; Viridiplantae; Streptophyta; Magnoliopsida; Malpighiales; Euphorbiaceae. The record is from RNAcentral.